This 275-nucleotide ribosomal RNA is filed under the name uncultured prokaryote. RNAcentral's name for it is "partial 16S ribosomal RNA". It matches the Rfam family "Bacterial small subunit ribosomal RNA", at positions 524 to 798 of the family's 1533-position model. The record is from RNAcentral.
UACGUAGGUGGCAAGCGUUGUCCGGAAUUAUUGGGCGUAAAGGGCGCGUAGGCGGUUAUUUAAGUCAGUUGUGAAAACUCUGGGCUUAACCGAGAGAUUGCAGUUGAUACUGGGUAACUUGAGUGCAGGAGAGGACAGUGGAAUUCCUAGUGUAGCGGUGAAAUGCGUAGAGAUUAGGAAGAACACCAGUGGCGAAGGCGAUUCUCUGGACUGUAACUGACGCUGAGGCUCAAAAGCGUGGGGAGCAAACAGGAUUAGAUACCCCGGUAGUCCCU